RNAcentral lists this ribosomal RNA (253 nucleotides) under uncultured bacterium. RNAcentral describes it as "partial 16S ribosomal RNA". It matches the Rfam family "Bacterial small subunit ribosomal RNA", at positions 524 to 776 of the family's 1533-position model. The record is from RNAcentral.
UACAGAGGUCUCGAGCGUUAGGCGGAAUCACUGGGCUUAAAGCGUGUGUAGGUGGAUCGUUAAGUACCUUGUGAAAUCCCACGGCUUAACCGUGGAACUGCUUGGUAUACUGGCGGUCUUGAGCCACUUAGGGGCUACCGGAACAAAUGGUGGAGCGGUGAAAUGCGUAGAUAUCAUUUGGAACGCCAAUGGUGAAAACAGGUAGCUGGGAGUGUGCUGACGCUGAGAAGCGAAAGCAUGGGGAGCGAACAGG